CAGCGGCUCCCAGGAAUGGCUUCGGUGGGCAGCGGCAUGGAGGAGGUGCGCCUGUCGGUACUGACCCCCUUGAAGCUGGUUGGGCUGGUGUGCAUCUUUCUGGCGCUGUGUCUGGACCUGGGGGCGGUGCUGAGCCCGGCUUGGGUCACAGCUGACCACCAGUACUACCGUGUGUGGGAGUCCUGCCGGAAACCCGCCAGCUUGGACAUCUGGCACUGCGAGUCCAUGCUCAGCAGCGAUUGGCAGAUUGCUACUUUGGCUUUACUCCUGGGCGGUGCUGCCAUCAUUCUCAUUGCAUUCUUGGUGGGUUUGAUUUCUAUCUGCGUGGGGUCUUGAAGGCGCGUUUCUAUAGACCUGUUGCGGUCAUGCUUUUUGCAGCAGUUGUUUUACAGGUUUGCAGCCUGGUCCUUUACCCAAUCAAGUUCAUUGAAACUGUGAGCUUGAAAAUGUACCAUGAGUUCAACUGGGGUUAUGGCCUGGCCUGGGGUGCAACUAUAUUUUCGUUUGGGGGUGCCAUCCUUUAUUGCCUGAACCCUAAGAACUAUGAAGACUACUACUAGAACCAAUAGUCUCAAAGUAAAAAUAACCACCACCAUCCAACAAAAGGAUUACGUCUGCAUCUUUUCUAACUUUCUAUUUUCUAAAACACUUGUGGAGCAUCAAGCAGUUUGCUCAGUUGAUUUAAUCUUUUUUGCCUUUUGGCUGUCAACAUCAUAACCAGCUUUUACAUCCAUUUUAGAAAUCUGCACAAAUUAAGAGAGCUGAUUAGACAGGCAAAUGCUGCAAACUUCCAAUAUGUUCAUAUCGUUUUUCUUGACAAAUGAAGGGUCUGUAUGACAGCAACCAUUGUGAGAAACUAGUUGGAAUGAGAUUUGCCUCAGUCUCCUAUUGCCUGCAAGGGAGCAGUUGGCAUAAGCAACAUUUAGAAGUUCCUUUGUGCUGACAAGGAUUCCACUGUUAGAGCCCUUACUGCCUGCUUAUCCUACCCAAUGACUACAUUGGCUGUUGGUUGUUUGCUUGAAUGAGCCCUUGAAAAAUGAACUGCCCUUCAGCAUCUAAUGGGAGUUGUGAAUGUAACUGGUUAAUGGUACACAUUCCACCUUCAAGAAUACUCUUUUUAAUGGGAGGUUAUGCUUUGGCAAUCAGCAUCUCCCUGGGAGGAGAGUCAAGACUUGGAGACAUGUGCUUCUCAUUAUGUGGUUAGAAAUUGGUGCCUCAGCCCUAUCUAGACUGGGGAAAAAUUGAGGAUCUCUGUUUUUCCUGGGGCAAACAGAAAGAAAUCUGCAUGAGUUGCUUUUGUACCCUUUAAAUCAUUUGCCAAACAUUGCAGCAAACAAGUGUGCAUAUGUAACAAGCUUCCAUGUUUUUAUAGAAGGUGAGCCAUUAGUAUAAAUGGUAAUUAGUUGUUCCUUAACCCUCCACAUACAUUGCCUAUUACACAUAAAAUUAAUAUUUACUCUAGUGAAGUGGUUUGAACACUAACCUUGUAUGCAUUGUUAAGAGGCUUAGAUUGUUCAUACUUAUUUACCAUACAAAAGUAUGGUACCUUAAAGCUUUUGCUCUAUGUUCUUUACUGUUUCACUGGAAAGUGUUAAUAGAGUUGCCUAAGAACAAAAAUUGAAAUGGUGUUAAUCUGAAAAUUAAUGAUUCUCUGUAAGCACUGUAGUUGAAAGAAGAAUAGCAAUUAGGAUGAUCAUUUUGUGUAAAAUUCGUUAAAAUAGAAGGCUAUUUUUUUUUGCAAGUAUUUUAAAUGUCUUCAUUUUUUAAAAAAAGGAAUAGCGAUAGAUUUAUAUAAAUAUCUAAAUGUCUCAGUAGAGGAGUAGAAUUCAUCUGGUUAUCACCUGGUCCUCUGAAGUUAAUUGAUGGGCUAACCGAUUUGUGCACACACUUAGGGUGGAUUUAUGUUAAGGGAAUUACUUACUGACUGUUCAAUGGAAGGAAGUAUUAAUAAUAGGGAAUAAGUUUGCAACUAAUCUCAUGCUGCAAACUUGUGUUAAUUCUGUUUCAUAUACAAAUUUGGAUAGCUUAAUUAUAAACAUAUUUUUAUAUCAAAUAUACAGUUCUAAUAUAAAAGUUAUAAAUAAUUAUUUUUGUUAACAAAGACACUAAAACAGUAUGUUCUGGUUUUGGCCCUCUUGCAGAAAGAAACAUUAGAAAAAUUACUUAAAAAGUAGCUAUGUGUUACUGUAUUGCAAAAUCUGUUAAGAGCAGGACCACAUCGAUAGUAUUUAAUAAUUUGUUUUACCUCCCAAAGCACAGUUCUACUUUCAGCUAGUCUUAAGAAUGGUUGCCAAAAACAACAGCCAAAAAAAAA
Molecule: non-coding RNA, 2314 nt
Organism: Macaca mulatta (Rhesus monkey)
Lineage: Eukaryota; Metazoa; Chordata; Mammalia; Primates; Cercopithecidae
Source: RefSeq, a predicted model, not a curated record